UCAAGCUCAUAUCAUCUUGCUCAAAGCUCCAACCCACUAAUCAUACACUUUGUCUUUCCGGCAUAGCUAGCCCCCAUCCUGAAACUACUGAGGGGCCCCUGACUCAUUGUAGUAGCAUAAACUGAAGCAUAUUUCUAGGCAUCCACUAUCAAUAACAAAGUCACUCUUAUUACUGGAGAAAUGCAAAAAGUUUAGAAGUUCCAUUCUAGGGAUGCUGAAAAAGAUAUGCAUUUAAUGUUCCAUUUAAGACAGAAACAGAAUGAAGUCUGCCCUGGGAUAUCAUACUUGGGAUUUCUUACUCCAUCAAAAUUAUUCCAAGUCAGCCCGACUAAGAUAAUUUCUGCAACAUGCAGCGGGUCCUGUCAGAGCUCCUUUCCUCCCGUGGUGCCUCUUUGAGUCCAGUUAUUCAUUGCCAUACUGUUCCCUCUUGCUGUUCUGUCCCACUCCGUAUGCCAACAGCAAUUCUUAGGAGAAGCCCUAAAUAUAGACAUGUGUGGUUGGAAAAAGAGGAGACAGAAGGAUGAGAAGAUGACAGAGGAGCUUCCUCCCUAACCACAUCAACCCCGCCUUAAAUCAUUAUAGUCUCAAGUUUAUCUAAUUUUCUGAUUUUUGUAUAAUACUUAAUUCACACAAAGCUUUCAUAAACUUAAAAAUUAAGAAAAAAUAUUACUAUCUAAUUUUUACAACUGUCCUCCCCUACUUUUUUUAAUAACAAAAUCUGUCUUACAUUUCAAGUAACAGCAUCUUGAAAAAAAGAUAACCCCCCACCGCACACCAUCACCACAAACACACACCAUAUUUUUUACCACUCAGGGACAUCUGAAGAUCUCUGAUUUCUUGUUUUUGGAAAUACAAAAAUAUAUUUUUCCUUGUAUUUAUCAUUCUUUGCCCUUCAAACUAAUAUUAGCUUUCAGUUUGAAAAGUCUUUUAAAAAGUACGAUGAUUUUUUUUUCUUUUCAUAGCAAUCUGUGGUUAGGUAAUUACUUCUACAAAAAUAAUAUGAGAAAUUUAAUUUCAUGUGCAGUUUGGCCCAUUAUUAAGUGGGAAUAUCAUUAUUAAAUAUUAUUAAACCAAACCCAUUUAUUUCCUCAAAUCAUAUGUAAUAUAAUCAGAUUUAUAUCUGAUUUAAUAUUCUAGUAUAAAAUAAAAUAUUAAACAUAAAUAU
Molecule: long non-coding RNA, 1165 nt
Filed under: Homo sapiens (human)
Lineage: Eukaryota; Metazoa; Chordata; Mammalia; Primates; Hominidae
Description: HSALNT0080239
Source: RNAcentral